Long non-coding RNA from Lepisosteus oculatus (spotted gar), 839 nucleotides. Lineage: Eukaryota; Metazoa; Chordata; Actinopteri; Semionotiformes; Lepisosteidae. The record is from Ensembl.
AUGUCCGGAAACAUUUGGACGGCUUUGUGUUGCUGUCAGAAAGGCCAGGACAAAGGUUUGGAUUGUAAAUUUAAUUCGACAUAUAUUUUAUGUCCUGUUGUUUUGCUCUCAUAUUUGCUUAUCCAAGGCCUUUUGCAAACCUCCCCAGAUGGCCAACAGCAGGCGGGGGAAAAGAAAAACAACGAAACGCUACGAAAGGUCGAGAAUACUGAACGCGAUCCGGUUGUUCAUCAAGUUGCGCACGUGAAUAUUGGCUAUCUGUCCGCGGUGUUUGAUCAGAAGGAAAGCUUGUCUAGCCAGGAAGAUUCGCGAGGGCGUCUGGAGUCCACCGAACACCAACAGGAUGAAGUGGCCGUGAGCGAGGCUGAAGAGCGAGGGGUGCUGGGUUUCCCGGGACAGAGCGGCACAGCUGGACCAGCAGUGCUCAGCUCAGAAGAAGACCGAGGCUACAGGCUGAUCAAACAGCAGCUGGCAGUGGCAGAGAGGGAGAAACGCGAGCUGGAAAAACAGGUGCACCAGGCUAACCAGAGUGUCCGGGACCUCAAACACGAGGUUGCUGUUUUACAGAAACGUCUCCAGCUGGUGGAGAACCCACCACACACCCUGUCGCCUCCCAGACCGCCCACCCCACCCCCUCUGCCCACUCCUCCUCCUCUUCUCCACCCCCUCAGAUCCUUAUUGUCAAUCAUCCAAAAAAAGAAGGACUCUAAAGAGCAAGACCCAUCUUGCACACAGCAAGAAAACUACUCACCAGCCUCGCCUGAAAGAGCUACAAGUGUGUAAACAGCUGGAUAUCUCAGUGUCAAGAUCUGUUUGAUGAAAUGUUAUCACUUUGAAAU